GAAUCAACUUUUGGAGAAAGUUGAAUCAGUAUUUGAGCUUUAAGAGGGUAUUUUAACACAAACAUCAGUCCUUCUACUUAAGUUUGGUCGAGCUCGCACAAAGAAUGGCUGCUAUGUUGAACUUCCUCCUGGGAUCUACACUAAGAAGUGAGUCCAACAUUAGCAGGGUCUCUUUCCUUUAUCUGGAUUCACUUUAGCAUUCACAGUCACGUGAAGCUUGUUAUUAACUCGAUAAGUCAACCCAGGGUUUCAGCUGAGCGUUCACAUGAAACACAUGGUGUUGGCAGCAUCUGAUCAAUCAUAUUCAUGGAGACGUGUAUCAGCAACAGAGCAGCUGAGUUUGCAGAAGGAAGUCAAACUAAACCACAGGAACAAUAUGAGGAGAUUACACACAUAAUAAAAUACUAGCAGUAACACAGCUGCUGCAGACAAAUCAGUCGUGUGAUGGUGUGUGAGAGGAGAAGGACUGUAAAGGAGUUUGGUGUUAAAAGCUCUGUAUGAAUGUGGGAGACUUUGAAUAAAAGGCAGCAAAAUUGCUGACUGUGAAAGUCACCAGACUUAUCA
This is a long non-coding RNA of Oreochromis niloticus (Nile tilapia), 564 nucleotides long. RefSeq lists it as uncharacterized. The transcript is spliced from 2 exons. The record is from RefSeq and is a predicted model, not a curated record. Lineage: Eukaryota; Metazoa; Chordata; Actinopteri; Cichliformes; Cichlidae.